GACGAACGCUGGCGGCGGGCCUAACACAUGCCAGUCGAGCGCGGCAUCGGGUUAGCGUUGGAUGGGUGAGUAACACGUGGGAACAGGCCCUUCUCUACGGAAUAGUCCUGGGACUCUGGGGGUAAUACCGUAUGCGCACUUUGGGGGAACGCUUUAUCGGUGAAGGAUUGGCCGGCGUUGGAUUAGGUAGUUGGUGGGGUAAUGGCCUACCAAGCCAAGGAUCCAUGGCUGGUUUGAGAGGAUGAUCGGCCACACUGGGACUGAGACACGGCCCAGACUCCUACGGGAGGCAGCAGUGGGGAAUCUUAGACAAUGGGCGCAAGCCUGAUGCAGCCAUGCCGCGUGAGUGAAGAAGGCCUUAGGGAUGUAAAGCUCUUUCAGCUGGGAAGAUAAUGACGGUACCUGCAUAAGAAGCCCCGGCUAACUACGUG
This 431-nucleotide ribosomal RNA is filed under the name uncultured bacterium. Its description in RNAcentral is "partial 16S ribosomal RNA". It matches the Rfam family "Bacterial small subunit ribosomal RNA", at positions 28 to 507 of the family's 1533-position model. The record is from RNAcentral.